AACAAAAAUAAUUUUGUGGUUGGGGUCCCCACAACCUGAGGAACUGUAUUAUAAAGGGUCCCAGCAUUAGAAAAGUUGAGAAUAACUUGGUACAUGAAGGUGAGGUCUCCCCCAGCAAGGUAGGAUCACUCAGUUCCAGUCACCCAAGCCAGAUCCAAGCACUUCCAGUGGUCAAGUCCAGUCCAGGGCCCAGGCACUGAGUGGCGUUCAGCCGGGAGCCGUGACCCUGGCUCGCGUGCCCGUGGGCAGGUGUUCCGGACAUUUAGCAAAGCAGCGCGCCUAAGAGGUCGCGGCCCCACUGCCGGCCGCGCGCGCGACUCUGGCGCGCACACUGCCCUGCCAGCCCACAGCACCCGCCCGUGGACCGCAUUCGCUCGGGGCGCGCAUGGGCCAGGCCCGCCUCCGCUGGUUUUCGCUUUCGCUUUGCACCUACUUUGCAGAGAAACAAAGCGGCCACGACGACUAGAGAUGCGUCAGCGGUGAGGGGAGCUGAGAGCGGCGGCCUGGACCCCGGACCCACAGGCGAGGUGGCAGCAUGUCCUGGGCCUCCUUAUGAUGUCAGGCAACUAAGAAAGAAGAAAAUGGAGUCCCUCCUCCUGGAGACUUGCUAGAAAGCCAGCCAUGAGCGUCAGCGUGUGCAGCCGCUCAGGCGAAAGCAGCAUGGAGCUGGUACCCUGCAUCCUGGAAAGUUGAAGACGACCAGUCUCUUAGCCAACCUGGGAACAGGACAACGUGACCUGCCUCAGCCUGUCUCCCACACCUGGUGAAAGGAACACGUCCCGGGCUGCAGCACAGACUCUCACGUGCUGAGCGCUCAGCAAGUGUCUACCCAGAACACAUGGACCUGGAGGACUCUUCCAGAAGCCUUAAUGUUCUGUUUUGUUUGGGGGAAGAAGCAUUUCAACCCUUGAGUGACAUAGCUUCUAGCAGAUUAAUGUAUUCUCUUGCAUCCCACGCCACUCUGAGUCCUUUGGUCAAGUGCAUCCAUCCGAAAAACACUCCCCACCCCCAGCAGCCCUGUCUAGCCGAAGCCAGGAAGCCUCAAGCCCCUUUCAGUUCACUAUCUGAACUCAACCCUACAAGGCAGAUCAGAGGCACUGCUCCAAGAUCCUGCUUUUAGUUCAGCCCACUCACUGUGGAUGGCAGAGAAAACCCAAGGCUUGGAUCCCUAGCACUGCCUGUCUGCAGAGCCCCCUCCCACAGCAGGAGCUUCAUGGUCCCUGUUUCUAGAUGGGCAGAUGGGGCCCAGGUGCCCAUGGAAUGUAAAAGUGCCUCGGCCCCCCUGGAACUGGAGUGACAAGCAGUUACAAGCAGUCACACCUGGACCCUCUGCAAGAGCAAGAAAUACUCUUACCUGCUGGGCCAUCUCUCCAGCUCCAGCUUGAGACAUCUCAGUGGAUCUGCUUUCCCAGUGCUUUUGAAACUCCUGGUGCCUGCAUCUCUCCCGGACCCCAAAAGUCCCAAAGAAUUUGUUGUGAAUUAAAAUAAAUGAAAUUUUUUUUAUUAAAGGAUGACAUAAACGAAAUAAAGCACAAAGCAUAAGUGUAAAUGGAUGACAUUUCCUCAAGUGAACUUAGCCUAAGUAACCAGUAUUGAGCUGAAGGACAUCACCUGUAUCCCUUGUUGCUGUGCCUAAGUCUGCAGGGAAACAUCAGGCCUGUCUGCAGGGUCGCAGCUGGAUACAGUGGGCACGCUAAUAGUCACAGCUGGGAGCUCGGAGCCGGAAGAUCAGAAGUGCAAGGUCAUCCUGAGGCCUCUUCAGUGCCUUCAGAAACUGAGGAAGGAAGCCAGCCGGGAGCCAUCCCUGGGGUGGGAAUGGGGGCUGGAAGAAACCAGAACCCUGUGAAUUGCUUCUGCCCUCCUGUGACCAAAAUAGCCUAAGGGAAUGAUUCAAGGCAGGCUUGUCUGCACUUCAGGGGACUUGAAGAAACCGAGAAAUUCAUGUAAAUGACCCAACCAGGGUGGCUGUCCCCAAUCUGCUCCAGGCCUACAAUCAUCUCAGCCAAGUAUCCUUAAGGAGUCUCCUUUCAUAGACAAACACCUCAUUCACUCUGCCGGACACCUGGUCUCAGGGAAGAAGUCAGCUGCCAGUAGCAGUGGCUGAUGCUGGAGUUUACAGAUACUUUAGUGAGGAAUCCAAGGCCUUCCCAACUCAGCCCCACUGGCCUAACAGUCUCUAAGGUACCGACUUGGUUCACUCCGUCCUCACUUCCCUACUUGGAAUAAGCCCUGUGUCACACUUAGCAAACUCAGUUGAGUGAGUGUGUAGGUAAUGCAUGCUGGCUGCAAAGCACAGUCAUUAGAACCCAGCUUCCCAGGCUGCCCAUGGGCCCCUUCUUCUCUGGGAGGCCUUGGCCAUCUUAAGCUAUCCCUCCCAGUUGGAGCCAGCCUCCUUGGUCAUGCCCAGGGCUUUUUCCCCAAGUGCUGUUCUUUCACAGGAUGCCCUGUGGAAGUGUUAGUGAGGUCCGUGUUCCUUUAGCGUCUCCAAUCUCAGUGAGCACAGCUCUUUACGCUCUGACCUGGUUACACCAGUUAUCCAGUCUGCAGAAGCGACUGGCGUGUCCAGAUAGAUCCUGAACAUGCAGAAUCAGAGGUGUGGGUGGGGAAAUGUUGAUUCCCAUUCUCUCAUUGGCUGCUAAUAUAUUUGAAUUGUCAUGGUGCCGCUGAUGGCUUGGCCUCCAGCCCUGCAGAACAUCUCAAGGUUGUUCCUCACCUAUUUCUUUUAAGAGAUUUUGUUUUUAUUUUUAACUUUGUGUAUAUGCCUGUAAGUGGAUAUGUGCAAAUGAGUG
Myodes glareolus (Bank vole) is the source of this 2789-nucleotide non-coding RNA. Lineage: Eukaryota; Metazoa; Chordata; Mammalia; Rodentia; Cricetidae. The record is from RefSeq and is a predicted model, not a curated record.